ACCUUAGAUCCGUUACCCCGGCUUCCUACUCCCUGAACCACCGUCCCCCCCGCCCCGCGGUCGCCCGUGCGGCUUCCCGCGGCAACGGCAACGGCGGGCCACCGGUGGAGGGGGAGAAGGAGCGGCGACGCUCGUCGCUCCCGGCGCUGUCGGAGAUCCGGUUGGGAGAGCUUCUGUCCCCGGACCCCGCCAAUGCCGUGGCUGUGGUGCUCACGGGCGCGCUCGUAUGGGCUGGCGCCUCACUGCUGCUGCAGCUCACGCUCAUCUCCGCAGCAAUCUUCGCCGCCGCCGUCAAGUACUCGUUUGUCGCCGCGCUCCUGCUAAUCGUCCUUAUCGCCCUGCUGUGAUCGACCCGGCCAAGAAAAAAGCUGUAAGUUCGCACGAAGCAUUCCGAUUGAAGAUCACGUAGAGGGCAAAGCAGCGGAUUUCAAAUGUUUCCAUUUUUGUAUGGAGCAGUACUGCAGUAGAAAAUAUUUGCCUGCCAGUGCCAGUUCAAUAUGGCCAGCAACUCCAGCAGGGUGAGAAAGAUCAUCAUCAGGUUCUAAAGGAUUUCUCAAAGUUGCUUGAUGAUCAGGAGUUUAAUAGUAAGUAUUAUCAUCCAAGCAACGCUAGGAUCUGGUUCUAUGGUGAUGAUGACCCAAAAGAGCACACAUUCUAAGUGAAUACCUUGAUCAGUUUGAAGCCAGCCCUGCUCCUAAAUGUUCGGCAGUGGUGUGCAUGAAGGAUUUGAGCUCCCCGUGCUCUACUCGCCAGGCCAGUCGACAUCCCAGUCUUGCGCUACAGAUCGGUGUGUACGUGCCUGACAGUGGCUAGCGCCUCUAUUCUUAAUUACUCUGUUUUUCCUUUUCUGAUCGAACGUUUAGAUUUAGAUGAAUAUGGUUUUCACGUCUUCAAAAUACACAUUACGAGAUUUGGUGUGGGCGGUCUAUAGAGUACAGAGAGAUGUGAAACAUGGGCAUCCUAAACACCUUUCGAAAGAAUUGCAUGUUGAAAAAUCUUGCCAAACUUCAGUGUUAUAACCUCAUAGGGUAUAGUAUAUACUUGUAAGGAGGAAAGGCUUGACAAAUUGAGGUUAAAUUUAGACAUAAUGAAAUGUGGCUUAACUAUAUUAACAAUUUAGAAAUCACGUAUCGAAUUUUGUGCUUUAGUGUGCUACACGAUUUUAAAUUUGUUUAUGGAUGAAAUGAACAAUCUGAUAAAUUCACACUGAUAUAGCAGAUUAUUUGAUUUAGUAUGUAGGCAUUGUGAUACUGUGCAUACUAUAGUAAUGAAUUGUGUUAUGUAAUGCUAAUACUUAACAUAACUACCUCAUAUGCCUGAUCUAUUAAUAUGUUCAUUGUAUAUGUUUGUUUUUUCUUUGCUUUGUCCACAUUCAGUUUUUUAAAAAAAUCUCAUGAAAUGAGAUAAUUAGUGUGGACAUAGGAUUGUAUUUUGUUGGUUCUUGUUAUGAUCUCCAGAUAUAUUCUUGAACCAUCUUUUCCCCCUUGUUAAUAAUUUCUAUUUAGAAUCAUUAAUCUGGGACACAUGUAACAUUAUCAAGUUACUCCUUGUGCUGAUGACUUUCUGUAUUCUGAUUUUUGCAUGCUUAAUGAUAUUGGUGUUACUCUAAUGACAACAGAAAAUGGCAUCGGAUUUCCUGGGUACUUCUAGAUUUAGGUUGAUGCGACUUGGUUUGUUUGUACAGUUUUGAUCUGGUAGGGUGUUUUUGACGAUAGAGUUGCCUGACGCCAAGGGUGUGAAGCAGAGCUUAAAGCCUAAAGGCCAUUUCAACUUGUCUAGCUCAGAUGACUCGCCUUGCGAGUUUGAUCUUGAGUUGUUUGAUGUUGUCGAUUUAAUACAUGUUGAAUUAGCGUUUCAGAUUUUGAUUGUAUUGGUCUUCCUAUUUGCAGGAGAGCAAAGCAGUUGUUGUCCCAAGAACCAUAUGCUACCAGAACAAGAAAGAUGAGAGCGGUUGGUGGCCAAGGCUCAUGAAAAAGGACUUGUGUUCUUGAAGGUUGACUGGAUAAAUGGUAGGAUGAGGAUGGCGAAGAUGUUGGAUGUUAGUAUUUCACUUUUGGUUGAUUAUAUUUUUUCUUAUGCGCCUGACAAAUCUAGAUUUGCAACCAGACAUGCUUUAUUCUUGUUCCUGUUUUGUUUUCCUUAUGUAUUAAUUCCUUAACUUGUAAUGCACACGAUGUUUUCCUUAUGUAUUAAUUCCUUAACUUGUAAUGCACAUGAUGUUUUCUUUAUGCAUUAAUUCC
Molecule: RNA transcript, 2240 nt
Organism: Zea mays
Lineage: Eukaryota; Viridiplantae; Streptophyta; Magnoliopsida; Poales; Poaceae
Exons: 5
Source: RefSeq, marked validated